GAUCCUAGCUCAGGAUGAACGCUAGCUACAGGCUUAACACAUGCAAGUCGAGGGGCAGCGGGAUUGAAGCUUGCUUCAAUUGCCGGCGACCGGCGCACGGGUGAGUAACGCGUAUCCAACCUUCCGCUUACUCGGGGAUAGCCUUUCGAAAGAAAGAUUAAUACCCGAUGGUACCUUAAGCACGCAUGAGAUUAAGAUUAAAGAUUUAUCGGUAAGCGAUGGGGAUGCGUUCCAUUAGGCAGUUGGCGGGG
Molecule: ribosomal RNA, 251 nt
Filed under: uncultured bacterium
Lineage: Bacteria
Description: partial 16S ribosomal RNA
Rfam family: Bacterial small subunit ribosomal RNA
Source: RNAcentral